UACGGAGGGUGCAAGCGUUAAUCGGAAUGACUGGGCGUAAAGCGCACGCAGGCGGUCUGUUAAGCCAGAUGUGAAAGCCCCGGGCUCAACCUGGGAACUGCAUUUGGAACUGGCAGGCUAGAGUCUUGGAGAGGGGGGUAGAAUUUCCGGUGUAGCGGUGAAAUGCGUAGAGAUCGGAAGGAAUACCAGUGGCGAAGGCGGCCCCCUGGCCAAAGACUGACGCUCAGGUGCGAAAGCGUGGGGAGCAAACAGG
RNAcentral lists this ribosomal RNA (253 nucleotides) under uncultured bacterium. RNAcentral describes it as "partial 16S ribosomal RNA". It matches the Rfam family "Bacterial small subunit ribosomal RNA", at positions 524 to 776 of the family's 1533-position model. The record is from RNAcentral.